GUAGACCUACGGGAGGCAGCAGUGAGGAAUAUUGGUCAAUGGGCGGGAGCCUGAACCAGCCAAGUCGCGUGAGGGAAGACGGCCCUACGGGUUGUAAACUUCUUUUGUCAGGGAGCAAUUGGGUCCACGCGUGGGCUUAGCGAGAGUACCUGAAGAAAAAGCAUCGGCUAACUCCGUGCCAGCAGCCGCGGUAAUACGGAGGAUGCGAGCGUUAUCCGGAUUUAUUGGGUUUAAAGGGUGCGUAGGCGGAAUAUCAAGUCAGCGGUAAAAAUUCGGGGCUCAACCCCGUCGUGCCGUUGACACUG
RNAcentral lists this ribosomal RNA (305 nucleotides) under uncultured bacterium. Its description in RNAcentral is "bacterial SSU rRNA". It matches the Rfam family "Bacterial small subunit ribosomal RNA", at positions 333 to 635 of the family's 1533-position model. The record is from RNAcentral.